UUCGGAUUGUAAACUCCUGUCGUUAGGGACGAUAAUGACGGUACCUAACAAGAAAGCACCGGCUAACUACGUGCCAGCAGCCGCGGUAAAACGUAGGGUGCAAGCGUUGUCCGGAAUUACUGGGUGUAAAGGGAGCGCAGGCGGGAAGACAAGUUGGAAGUGAAAACCAUGGGCUCAACCCAUGAAUUGCUUUCAAAACUGUUUUUCUUGAGUAGUGCAGAGGUAGAUGGAAUUCCCGGUGUAGCGGUGGAAUGCGUAGAUAUCGGGAGGAACACCAGUGGCGAAGGCGGUCUACUGGGCACCAACUGACGCUGAGGCUCGAAAGCAUGGGUAGCAAACAGGAUUAGAUACCCUGGUAGUCCAUGCCGUAAACGAUGAUUACUAGGUGUUGGGGGAUUGACCCCCUCAGUGCCGCAGUUAACACAAUAAGUAAUCCACCUGGGGA
RNAcentral lists this ribosomal RNA (445 nucleotides) under uncultured Gemmiger sp. RNAcentral's name for it is "bacterial SSU rRNA". It matches the Rfam family "Bacterial small subunit ribosomal RNA", at positions 417 to 879 of the family's 1533-position model. The record is from RNAcentral. Lineage: Bacteria; Bacillati; Bacillota; Clostridia; Eubacteriales; Oscillospiraceae.